UAGGGGAGGAAGUGUUGCUGUGCGCUGUGAGAAUGAGAUUGUAUCCCUCGGUGGAUCCUGCUCGCAGAGGCCAGAGGUUUACAGACCUGGCCACGUGAGAGCCCACCGAGGCAUUUUGGAGGUCCUGGAAUUUAUCCUUUAAGAUAAGUGUGGGGUGAGGUGGAGCUGGAUGAUAAUAAAGAGAAGUAGGUUGACGUAUUUUUAAUUCUGAUACGAUGGAUGUUGGGGGGAGAGAAAAACUUAUUUGGGGGCUAAGUUAAAAACAGAAAAGAAAAGCAACCCCUCACUACCACCCACACAUAUAUGCCAAAAUGUUAGCUAGUUCCUGUGAGUGGUGGGAAUAUGGGUGCUUGAAUAUCACUUUUGUGUGCGCGCGCUUCUGGAACCCCUGGGGGGUGGGGGGAACCCGUCCUCUAAAAUAAAAUGUCAUUCCUAUCUUUGGAUUAUCUUUCUUGAACUCGCAAAGUUAUGUAAUCAUCGGAACGGUUACCCUGAUUGCAGCCUGAGCCAAGUUGAACGAGAGCGUGCAGCAGAUAAAAGGAGAAUUUGCACAUUUCGCGCUUCGGGGCCCCAGGGCGGAAGAGGAAAGCGACUUUACGGAGGCAGGCUGUUCAGGCGGGUCCCGGGCUCUGCAGACUACCAGAGGAACUUAGGUGCGUCCCUCUCCGGCUCCUCAGCCUCUCCAAAUGCGUCCCUUUCCAGGGGGCCCCCAAACUGUGCCACCCCCCGGGGGCUGCGCGUCGCCUUCGGCUGGGUUUGGAAGUGCCGCCCACGCUGAGCAGACACAUCUGCUUCCUUUCCUGACCUUUCCGUUUAUCUGUUUCUUCCGGCAUUGCUUUACAAAGCCCCUUCCUUCCGCGGAGAGAUUCAUUUUGUUUCUCAAGACACGCUGGAUGCACGGAUUCCCUUUCCCGGAUGCCAUCGAGGUGACUGCCACCUGGGCAUCCAUUCACCCUCGACUGCUGAGGUUCAGGGCUCCCCUGACUCCUCAGCUGCACACUCCACUGUCCAGUCACCAACUCGCUCUCCCGUGCUAAGGCUGUGCCCACCAGAAGUCACACGAAGUCAGCCCAAGGCACUGAGCCCAGUUGAUGACUCUUGGGAUUGGUGCCCAGCGCUGCUGUGAACAUCUGCCUGUGGAGGUCACGAUGGCUCUUGCCCAACUCCAGGAGACCUUGGGCUCCUCCCGGGCAGGGUGUAUCAUUGCUAUGGCAUUUGGAGCAGGAGUAUGAAAGACCGAGAUUCACUACGUGGACAAAUAGUUAUGGAACACCUACUGUGCCAGACAUUGUUCUGGGCGGUGAAGCAGGGGUUGAGUAAGUCAGACAAGGCCUUUCUUUCAUGGAGAGUCAUUGGUAAGCCAGACAGACAAUAAACAAAGAUGCAAAUAAAAAUUUCAGCUUCUGAUAAGUGUCAGGGAAAAAAAGAAAAGAAUACUGAACUCAUUUUCUUACUGUGUGCCAAAAAUUAUCUCAUUGCAUCUUCAAGACAACCCCAGGGAGUAUGUACUAUUCCUAGCACCCCAUUUUACAGAUGAAGAAAUCAAGGCACAGAGAGGCUAAUUGCUGAAGGCCACACAGCUAGGAAAUAAGAGAGCAAGACUGGAACUCAGGACAGCCUGGAAGCACAGCCCUGUUUUGUAUUCAGUAAAUCUAUAUAGCAAAGACCCAGAGGCUGUCACAAGCCCUGAC
This 1691-nucleotide long non-coding RNA is filed under the name Marmota monax (woodchuck). Lineage: Eukaryota; Metazoa; Chordata; Mammalia; Rodentia; Sciuridae. The record is from RNAcentral.